ACGAACGCUGGCGGCGUGCCUAAUACAUGCAAGUCGAACGCUUCUUUCCUCCCGAGUGCUUGCACUCAAUUGGAAAGAGGAGUGGCGGACGGGUGAGUAACACGUGGGUAACCUACCCAUCAGAGGGGGAUAACACUUGGAAACAGGUGCUAAUACCGCAUAACAGUUUAUGCCGCAUGGCAUAAGAGUGAAAGGCGCUUUCGGGUGUCGCUGAUGGAUGGACCCGCGGUGCAUUAGCUAGUUGGUGAGGUAACGGCUCACCAAGGCCACGAUGCAUAGCCGACCUGAGAGGGUGAUCGGCCACACUGGGACUGAGACACGGCCCAGACUCCUACGGGAGGCAGCAGUAGGGAAUCUUCGGCAAUGGACGAAAGUCUGACCGAGCAACGCCGCGUGAGUGAAGAAGGUUUUCGGAUCGUAAAACUCUGUUGUUAGAGAAGAACAAGGACGUUAGUAACUGAACGUCCCCUGACGGUAUCUAACCAGAAAGCCACGGCUAACUACGUGCCAGCAGCCGC
RNAcentral lists this ribosomal RNA (518 nucleotides) under Enterococcus faecalis. RNAcentral describes it as "bacterial SSU rRNA". It matches the Rfam family "Bacterial small subunit ribosomal RNA", at positions 29 to 518 of the family's 1533-position model. The record is from RNAcentral. Lineage: Bacteria; Bacillati; Bacillota; Bacilli; Lactobacillales; Enterococcaceae.